This 440-nucleotide ribosomal RNA is filed under the name uncultured bacterium. Its description in RNAcentral is "bacterial SSU rRNA". It matches the Rfam family "Bacterial small subunit ribosomal RNA", at positions 338 to 794 of the family's 1533-position model. The record is from RNAcentral.
CCUACGGGAGGCAGCAGUAGGGAAUUUUCCACAAUGGGCGAAAGCCUGAUGGAGCAACGCCGCGUGCAGGAUGAAUGCCUUCGGGUUGUAAACUGCUUUUAUAUGUGAAGAUUAUGACGGUAGCAUAUGAAUAAGGGUCGGCUAACUACGUGCCAGCAGCCGCGGUCAUACGUAGGACCCAAGCGUUAUCCGGAAUUACUGGGCGUAAAGAGUUGCGUAGGUGGCAUGGUAAGUUGGUAGUGAAAGCGUGCGGCUCAACCGCAUAUCCAUUACCAAAACUGCCAAGCUUGAGGAUGAGAGAGGUAGUUGGAAUUCCCAGUGUAGGAGUGAAAUCCGUAGAUAUUGGGAGGAACACCGAUGGCGUAGGCAGACUACUGGCUCAUUCCUGACACUCAGGCACGAAAGCGUGGGGAGCGACCGGGAUUAGAUACCCUAGUAGU